RNAcentral lists this ribosomal RNA (1442 nucleotides) under uncultured organism. RNAcentral's name for it is "SSU rRNA". It matches the Rfam family "Bacterial small subunit ribosomal RNA". The record is from RNAcentral.
CAGGCUUAACACAUGCAAGUCGAGGGGCAGCAUGGUCUUAGCUUGCUAAGGCCGAUGGCGACCGGCGCACGGGUGAGUAACACGUAUCCAACCUGCCGUCUACUCUUGGACAGCCUUCUGAAAGGAAGAUUAAUACAAGAUGGCAUCAUGAGUCCGCAUGUUCACAUGAUUAAAGGUAUUCCGGUAGACGAUGGGGAUGCGUUCCAUUAGAUAGUAGGCGGGGUAACGGCCCACCUAGUCUUCGAUGGAUAGGGGUUCUGAGAGGAAGGUCCCCCACAUUGGAACUGAGACACGGUCCAAACUCCUACGGGAGGCAGCAGUGAGGAAUAUUGGUCAAUGGGCGAGAGCCUGAACCAGCCAAGUAGCGUGAAGGAUGACUGCCCUAUGGGUUGUAAACUUCUUUUAUAAAGGAAUAAAGUCGGGUAUGGAUACCCGUUUGCAUGUACUUUAUGAAUAAGGAUCGGCUAACUCCGUGCCAGCAGCCGCGGUAAUACGGAGGAUCCGAGCGUUAUCCGGAUUUAUUGGGUUUAAAGGGAGCGUAGAUGGAUGUUUAAGUCAGUUGUGAAAGUUUGCGGCUCAACCGUAAAAUUGCAGUUGAUACUGGAUAUCUUGAGUGCAGUUGAGGCAGGCGGAAUUCGUGGUGUAGCGGUGAAAUGCUUAGAUAUCACGAAGAACUCCGAUUGCGAAGGCAGCCUGCUAAGCUGCAACUGACAUUGAGGCUCGAAAGUGUGGGUAUCAAACAGGAUUAGAUACCCUGGUAGUCCACACGGUAAACGAUGAAUACUCGCUGUUUGCGAUAUACUGCAAGCGGCCAAGCGAAAGCGUUAAGUAUUCCACCUGGGGAGUACGCCGGCAACGGUGAAACUCAAAGGAAUUGACGGGGGCCCGCACAAGCGGAGGAACAUGUGGUUUAAUUCGAUGAUACGCGAGGAACCUUACCCGGGCUUAAAUUGCAGAUGAAUUACGGUGAAAGCCGUAAGCCGCAAGGCAUCUGUGAAGGUGCUGCAUGGUUGUCGUCAGCUCGUGCCGUGAGGUGUCGGCUUAAGUGCCAUAACGAGCGCAACCCUUGUUGUCAGUUACUAACAGGUUCCGCUGAGGACUCUGACAAGACUGCCAUCGUAAGAUGUGAGGAAGGUGGGGAUGACGUCAAAUCAGCACGGCCCUUACGUCCGGGGCUACACACGUGUUACAAUGGGGGGUACAGAGGGCCGCUACCACGCGAGUGGAUGCCAAUCCCCAAAACCUCUCUCAGUUCGGACUGGAGUCUGCAACCCGACUCCACGAAGCUGGAUUCGCUAGUAAUCGCGCAUCAGCCACGGCGCGGUGAAUACGUUCCCGGGCCUUGUACACACCGCCCGUCAAGCCAUGGGAGCCGGGGGUACCUGAAGUGCGUAACCGCGAGGAGCGCCCUAGGGUAAAACUGGUGACUGGGGCUAAGUCGU